Molecule: long non-coding RNA, 5331 nt
Filed under: Sus scrofa (pig)
Lineage: Eukaryota; Metazoa; Chordata; Mammalia; Artiodactyla; Suidae
Description: lncRNA (ENSSSCG00065004398.1)
Source: RNAcentral
GCAGGAGAUUUUGAAUGUGAGUUCAUUGCCCCGUGUCAGUUAUAAGUAGCAUUUAUUUCAUGUGUUUUGCAUUUUUUUUGAUUUUGGAGACAUUUGUGAGGAAGUAAUUCUUCCUUCUCCUUUUGGGGGUUUAUUUGCUACUUGUCUCUUUUGUGAAAUUUUCUGUUAUCUACUUUCUUGGCAAGGCACUAGUCUGAGGAGUUAACACCCUUGUAUCAAAAGCUCAUCUUUCCACCUUUAGCUCCUCACGUCUUUGUUUGUGUUCCAGAAGAAAUUUCCAAGCAGCAAAAUGGAUGAAGAGAUGUUUUUUUCUCCUUUUUUAGGGCCGCACCCGGGGCAUAUGGAGGUUCCCAGGCUAGGGGAGCUACAAUUGCUGGCCUGUGCCAGAGCCACAGCAACACCAGAUUCGAGCUGUGUCUUCGACCUAAACUACAGCUCAUGGCAACACUGGAUCCUUAACCCACUGAGUGAGGCCACGGAGUAUACCUGUGUCCUCAUGAAUGCUAGUUGGGUGCAUUCCUGCUGAACUACGAUGGGAACCCCGAUGAAGAGAUUUUUAUCUCCGCUCCAUAACCCCCAUUGACUGAUGUGUUUCCUUUAAAACAGGAGGCUGAGGAGUUCCCACCAACGUGCAGUGGGUUAAAAGUCUGACUGCAGUAGCUUGGGUUGCUGCAGAGGUGUGAGUUCAAUCCCUGGCCCAUCUCAGUGGGUUAAAGGAUCUGGCAUUGCUGCAGCUGAGGCUGGGAUUCAGCCCCUUGUCUGGGAACUUCCAUAUGUCAUGGAUGUGGCCAUAAUAUUUAAAAAAUAGAAUAAAGCAGGAGACUGAAAGACCUGCUCGUUCACUCCAGAACAGCAGCUCUGAGAGGUCUGGACUCUGAUGGGGAGGGCAAGGUUGGGGAUGCGGAGUCAGGAUCGUCUUUGAUGUGUACAUCGUCUCGGAUGCUGGAGGAGAGAAGGGGAGGUGGUGACCAAUACACCUGGUCGCUCAAGGGCUCUCCUGCUGGAGGCUAGGAUACUGCCUGGUGUUGGAAGACUUAUGUUCUAGGUUGUAUGAGCCACUCAUGAGGAGUGUGGCUUUGGGCAAGUUACUUUACCUCGGGAAAACCUAUUUCCUCUUUAUAGAAAUUGUCGUAAUAGAGCCUGUUGUGUGACUUGACCCUUACAGGUUAUGUGACGAUGGGGGUGGAGAUAUUUUGGACACUGAGAAGUGUAUUUUGUUCUUUGUAUUUUGUUCUUGUUUUGUUUGCUUUUUGUUUUAUUUUCCCCUUUUAGGGCUGCACCUGCAACACAUGGAGGUUCUUGGGCUAGGGGUCUAAUCGGAGCUGCAGCUGCUGGCCUAUGCCACAGCCACAGCAAUGCUGGAUCUGUGCCACAUCUGUGACCUCUACACCACAACUUGUGGCAAUGCUGGAUACUUAACCCACUGAUCAAGGCCGGGGAUUGAACCCACAUCCCCAUGGACACCAUGUCAGGUUCUUAACCUGCUGAGCCACAACGGGAACUCCAAGAAGUGCAUUUUGGAAACAAGGGUCUAGUAUGAGAAUUUUCUUCUGAACAUUAACCAGUGCAUCACCAAAACAACUGUAAUCAUAAUAAAAAGGAUCUAGAAAUAAAGAGAAAUUAUGCAAAGUGCUCCUUCAGUUGGAGCAGAGUAGAAAAUGAUGUCUUAUCUAUCACGAGAAGACAGAUGCUUGCUGGCUUCCUUUUGCCUCACAGCCUUCUCUCUCUCUCUCUCUUCCUUUGCAGGGUUUUACAAACUAAUUUCCAGCCAAGCGCUGGAAAGUGGAAGCUGAGACGCAGCAUCAUGGGGAGGGGGCCCUGGCCUCAGUCCCACCACCUGGGCUUGCAUCCCGGAGCUGCCCUUCCCUCGCUAUGGGUACCUGGGUAGGUCUCUUCACCUCUCGGCCUGAGUUCCUCAUGCAUAAGUUAGUUAGAAUUUUAUUAAGGUCCUCUCUAGCACAUGGAUUCUUAGCUGUCCCAGCAUAGAGUUGAUAAUACCUGCCAGGGACUGAAGAGCCUGGUGUUGCCGAAUGACUGGGUUAUUGGUGUAGUAUCUCCCAUCCUCUCACACAGUUAUCAGGUGUUGACAUUGCUGUACUACAUCCCUGGUUUUUGCUCCUGACAGUGGCAGGGGGAUGGGACACUCCACAGCGGCUGCUUGGUGGCUCAGCGUCCCCAGGAUGCAGGAACAUGCAGGGUAUAGACCAAUGCCACAUUUUCCUUUGGUCCCAAUUCUGGGGAAGUGGUAAGGGAAGAGGUUGGGGAAGGGUGUGGUGACUCUACCUGGGCACCCAAAGCAAGGGUGGUGGGAAGAGGGUCACUUCUAAAUUGGAAGGCCACCCAAGACCUGCCGAAGGAUGAGCAUUACUCAGAGGGUGGGUCCCGUUCCCAUUUUAGAGCUGAAGUCAACUCCAGGCCCUGUUGUAGUUGGCUAAUGGCGAUCCCCAAAACCACAGGCUCCAGAGAUAUGAGCCAGCAUUCCAGGAAAAGCCACCCACGGGAGAAGGGAGGAUGGAGGGAGAGAGCUUGGCGCAAGGGCCUGCGUGUUUGGGGCUGAUUGCUUCAAAUGGAGGGUGACUGCACACUCCAGCGCAGGGUUCAUUGGUCAGACCUCAAGCAAAAUCCAGUCUACAGCUAUGGAUGCUUUGGCAACAGGGAGCUGAGUUGCUCCCCCUCCCCCAACCCUUGAGUCAACAUCCAGAGAAUGGAGGGAGGCCCGAGGUCACUGGGAAGUUCUUCAUUCUGUUGUUGUUUUCUUUAAGCUCAGAAAGACCAGCCUACGACUUAGGAGGCUUGGUUUGGAUGGCUCUCCAAACCCCUGGUCAGAUGGCGAUCUUUCAACUAAAACACAGGGUUAUUCGAAUUUUCUUCCAAAUUUCCGUGCAAACAAUUAUCCUGGCAUGUUAUCUGUCAUAUUUCCUUUGGAGGGUUCUUCCACACUGAAAAAAAAAAAUUCAUCCUAUCUUGUGAAUGAGUCGAUUGAGAAGUAAACCCUCACAUCCGUCGAGAUGUCUGAAGAUCUGAAUGAUUCCCCGAGCAUGAGCGCCCCUGACUACAGCUCUCCUUUGGGGGCAAGAGCCAAGAAAGACCUAGAAGGAUACAAAGGAUGCAGGAUCCCACCAGCAACCUUUUGCUGAGCUGGACUUAGAGAUGCAGCUAAAGGGACUCUUGAGAAGAAAAAAGGCAUUCCACACUGGUGAGGUUAGGGCUGCAGUCCUUAAAAGCGAGGUGGUUUCACGGAGACUGACUGCUUUAGGAAGGGACAGGUCCUGAUGCUCUCAAAGGGGAACUGGGUGACAUGGGAGGGAAGCAGCCCGGAGCCAGCACUGGGCGGGGUAUCAGGGCAGGGCUCCCCUUCCAGCAUCCCCACCUGCCCUCUCACUCCCACAGCCCAGGGCCCUCCGUCUGCUCUAUUCUCCACCCACCUCUGAAAACCUUCCAUCCCCGAUGCUACUUCAAAGCCCCCUGGGAAAGCCAAGUUGCCAAUUAAGCCUCUUUGAGGCAGGUUCUCAUUCCUUCCCCCACUAAUUGAAAUGUUACUCCUUUUACUAAACCCCUAAACCACCCAAACACAACGGUCUUCCUCAUUUGCAUUGUAACAACGACCCUAAUGUGCUUCCAAGAGCUUUCCCUAAAGGGGACGUGUUCGCUCCUCUCCCGGUAGGAGCCGGUAGGACCGGUCAAAAGAAUUCGGAGGCAAAGGCCUUCAUUUCCAUCCCUAUACAGCUGCUCAUUAGCUAAGGUGGAAGAAAUUCCUUUCAUGCUGGAUUCAUUUCCCAGGAUGAUAAUGUCUUUUUUGUCUCAGGCCACUGUUCCCAAACUAGGCCUUAAUUGCUGAUCGUAAUGGAGUUAAUACAUAUUUACAGGCUGGUAAGGUUAAAGAAGGUCUCCUGUAGUUUUAGUAUUUGAGACAUUUUAUUUAACUUGCAAUAAAAUCAUUAACCAGUUGUUGAGCGUUAAUGCUGUCCUUUAUCUUGUCUCUGCCCCUUUGGGACAGUUGGGUGAAGGCAGAUGGCUUAGGUGGAGGAUCGGGGUCGAUUCGCAGGCUGGGUGGAUGGGGAGCCCCAGUCCUCACCUCCUCACCUCUAGGUUCUGCCCUGUUCAGGGAGCAGGGCCUCUGCUGGGUGAAAGCGGAGAGCCUGGGGCAACGCCCGUGCCGCUCUCCCAGGCACCCAGCCAGGGAGUGCGGGCGGGGUGAUGAAAUCCCAUCAAAGCCACAGGGCUGGGCCAGGCUCCUGAAUGAGCUCCCACCAGUAACUCGAGCCCCAAGUGGCCCACAGGCUGGGCACUGAGCCGAGGUGUCAGGCCGCACGACAGCCUGGCCACUAGAGCCCUCCCAGAAAGAGGGGCUGCGCACAGGGCAGGAGGAGGGCCCAAGGGCCAAGGGCAAUGCCAGGGGCAGCUGCGGGGGCUUCCAAACUUCACCCUGGGAGUCUAACAGUGGGAGCGAGACAUGCAUGCCCCCUUUGCUGCUUUACAUCGGGGGAGGGAAAUCGGCUUAUCAAAAAUGACACUGCUUUGCGUCAACCGCAGGUCUGACUGCCCCCAGUGUGCUGCUCCCACUGCCAGAUGCUUCUUCUCUCCCCCUCUGGUUGCUUUGAUUUCUUUCUUUCUUUCCUUUCCUUUCCUUUCUCUUUCUUUCUUUCUUUCUUUCUUUCUUUCUUGCUUGCUUGCUUGCUUGCUUGCUUUCUUGCUUGCUUUCUUUUUUUCUUGCUUUCUUUCUUGCUUUCUUGCUUUCUUUCUUGCUUUCUUUCUUUUUUUGUCUUUUUGCCUUUUCUAGGGCCGCACCCUUGGCAUGUGGAAGUUCCCAGGCUAGGGGUCUAAUCGGAGCUGUAGCCGCCGGCCUGAGCCACAGCCACAGCAAACACCAGAUCCAAGCCUUGUCUGCGACCUACACCAGAGCUCACAGCAAUGCCGGAUCCUUGACCCACUGAGCGAGGCCAGGGAUCGAACCUGCCACCUCAUGGUUCCUAGUCGGAUUCAUUAACCACUGAGGAAUGCCUUGCUUUGCUUUCUGAUCUGUCCCGGAGCAGUGGACCAGGCUCUAGCCCGCCUUCCCCAGCCUCCCUGGUGCUGAAUGUUUCCUGGCCACAUGUUUCUACAUUUCCCAGCUCCCCUUGCAGGAGACAUGGUGGGAAGAAGUGACAGCGACCAGCUCCAUGCUCUUUGCCCUGUCCGGCUGCCUGGAAUGGUGAGGACCCUCAGGACAACUUCUGAAGACACAUGUUAAAAAUGGUCUGUGUAACCCGGUCACCUUGCUGUACAGUGGAAAAUUGACAGAACGCUAUAAACCAGCUACAAUGGAAAAAAAAUCAUUAUAUAAAUUAAAAA